This 1223-nucleotide long non-coding RNA is filed under the name Homo sapiens (human). RNAcentral describes it as "HSALNT0295289". The record is from RNAcentral. Lineage: Eukaryota; Metazoa; Chordata; Mammalia; Primates; Hominidae.
ACGAUAGAAUCUCAAGAGCAGAGCCUACCAGGAAGUAGAGUGAAGCCUACAACUUCCUCAGCCAUGAGGACCCAACAAUCCACUGGGGAGUGCUGGUUUGCCACAAAACUCCAUCGUAACUGAAAGAGGAAAUCUUCUACAAAUUCCAGAGACCUUCUUGGAGGAUGAGAAGCAGCCACUAGUUGACAGGAGGGGAAGUGAGGCAUGUAGUCUUCAAGGGAGCAGACCACCGUGGGAGUUAUAAAAUAUCAGCGACGCCUCUGGGUGGGUUCGAACCGCCAACCUUUUAGUUAACAGCCAAACGCGCUAGCCGAUUGCGCCACAGAGACAUGGCUGAGCUCCUGAUUUCGUUCUAAAAGAGGGUAAGCUGUCACUAAACGCUAGCUAGCACCAUCCGCCUUUUGCAAAAUGAUUGGGUAAUCUCCAAAGCCUGACCAACAUGGUGAAAACCUGCCUCCACUAAAAACACAAAAUUAGCUGGGGGUGGUGGUGCAUGCCUGUAAUCCCAGCUACUUAGGAGGCUGAGGCAGGAGAAUUGCUUGAACCUGAGAGGCGGAGGUUGCAAUGAGCUGAGAUCGCACCCUUGCACUCCAGCCUGGGCAACAACAGCAAAAACUCCACCUCAAAAAAAAAAAAAAAAGAAAAGAAAAGAAAAUGAGCUAAGGAGCUAGGCUUCCUUAUUUCACAACCUUGGCUCUGUCUCCUAUGAAACCAGGGCAACUAUUUAACCCCUCCAUGUCUGAGUUUCCUCAUGUAUAAAUGAAGGGAGCAAUAGUACCUAGCUUAUAAGGCCAUUAUAAGGAUUUUAAAAGUUAAUCUAAAGUGCUUAGGACAGUGUAUGGCAUAGAGCAAGCACUCAGUAAAUCCAUUCAUUCAAUAAAUGUUUAUUGAAUAUAGGUGUGGCUGCUGUUUUGGCUGAUGAGUAUACUAAAGUCAGUGAAACAGACGAAAUCUGUGGAGCUUUCUUCCUUGGGGGAGGAGGCCAACAACAACAACGAAUACACACAGAGGAAGAGCAAUGGAAUGAAUUGUGUUCCCUCCCCUCCCAAAUUCAUAUGUUGAAGCCCUAACUGCCAACGUGAUGGUAUCUGGAGAUGGGGCAUUUGGGAAAUAAUUAGAUUUAGAAGAGAUCAUGAAGGUGGGAGACUCGUGAUGGGAUUAGUGCCCUUUUAAGAAGAGAAAGAGUCAGGUGCAGUGGCUCUUGCCUGUAAUCUCAGCACUUU